This 59-nucleotide transfer RNA is filed under the name Southwellina hispida. RNAcentral describes it as "tRNA-Asp". Lineage: Eukaryota; Metazoa; Acanthocephala; Palaeacanthocephala; Polymorphida; Polymorphidae. The record is from RNAcentral.
CUCAAGGUAGUCUAUUUAAGGAUAAGGGUUUGUCUGACUCUAGGAGGUUACGCUUGAGU